RNAcentral lists this long non-coding RNA (612 nucleotides) under Mus musculus (house mouse). RNAcentral describes it as "long non-coding RNA chr7:128538931-128539543". The record is from RNAcentral. Lineage: Eukaryota; Metazoa; Chordata; Mammalia; Rodentia; Muridae.
UAGCCAGGCGGAGACUCUUAGUAGUUGGCCUUGUAAGACUGGCGAGUAAUCCCCUGGUUUUGUUCUCUUCUUGCACCACUUCUGCAUUCCAGUGCAUCUCCUUUCCUACAGCUUGUUCUAAAAAUAGUUCCAAGGAGCUAGCUAGCUCCUGAAACACACACACAGAUUACACACAACACACAGAGCAUACACGGUACAUGCACAGAACACACAAAAUAGCACAGACAACACACCACGGAGCAUACACAACACAUAGAACAGAGUACACACAGAGAGAGAGAGAGAGAGAGCACAGACAACACACACAGCACACACACAGAGCACAGACAACACACAGAACAGCACAUACACAGCACAGCACAUACACACAGAACAGAGCACAGACAACACAUACACAGCACACACAGAGCACAUGCUUACAUUCUUUUCCAGAAAGAUUUUCAAGCUACAUUCUGUAUUGAUCAAAUACAAGCUGUGCAGAUGAGAAAUAUUGGCAGCUGAGAAGUGUGCUGCUGUAACUGGAGUUGAGUCUUCCUGGGGUCACCUGGCUUCACCCUCUGAAGAUGCACAGGGGUGGUUUGCCACUAUCUGCUGUCUACACUGCUGUCACCC